GUGUUUGUUGCUUCGGCAGCACACAUGCUAAAAUUGGAACAAUACAAAAAAGAUUAACAUGGCCCCUUUGAAAAAUAAAUUCAUAAAAUAUUUGAUAUUUUU
Mastomys coucha (southern multimammate mouse) is the source of this 102-nucleotide small nuclear RNA. Lineage: Eukaryota; Metazoa; Chordata; Mammalia; Rodentia; Muridae. The record is from RefSeq and is a predicted model, not a curated record.